GAAAUGCGGACGCGUCCAGAUCUCGCCCCAUGCAUAACGGGUGAUGAGAUCGAGGAAGUCGGCAUUGAAUGCGUUCUUGCUUGCCGCCGACUUGUCGACCCAGGCGUUGCCGAGCACCUUGCGCCGUUUUGCCGUUCCCUGAUCGCGGCGUUGAUUAUCGUCCAUGGCUUCUCUCUCAGCGCUGGGUCAGAAAGCCGACC
Molecule: unclassified non-coding RNA, 200 nt
Filed under: Hevea brasiliensis (rubber tree)
Lineage: Eukaryota; Viridiplantae; Streptophyta; Magnoliopsida; Malpighiales; Euphorbiaceae
Source: RNAcentral